RNAcentral lists this ribosomal RNA (569 nucleotides) under Clonostachys sp. Macof 02. RNAcentral describes it as "eukaryotic LSU rRNA". The stretch from base 188 to 341 matches the Rfam family "5.8S ribosomal RNA". The record is from RNAcentral. Lineage: Eukaryota; Fungi; Ascomycota; Sordariomycetes; Hypocreales; Bionectriaceae.
UCCGUAGGUGAACCUGCGGAGGGAUCAUUACCGAGUUUACAACUCCCAAACCCAUGUGAACAUACCUACUGUUGCUUCGGCGGGAUUGCCCCGGGCGCCUCGUGUGCCCCGGAUCAGGCGCCCGCCUAGGAAACUUAAUUCUUGUUUUAUUUUGGAAUCUUCUGAGUAGUUUUUACAAAUAAAUAAAAACUUUCAACAACGGAUCUCUUGGUUCUGGCAUCGAUGAAGAACGCAGCGAAAUGCGAUAAGUAAUGUGAAUUGCAGAAUUCAGUGAAUCAUCGAAUCUUUGAACGCACAUUGCGCCCGCCAGUAUUCUGGCGGGCAUGCCUGUCUGAGCGUCAUUUCAACCCUCAUGCCCCUAGGGCGUGGUGUUGGGGAUCGGCCAAAGCCCGCGAGGGACGGCCGGCCCCUAAAUCUAGUGGCGGACCCGUCGUGGCCUCCUCUGCAAAGUAGUGAUAUUCCGCAUCGGAGAGCGACGAGCCCCUGCCGUUAAACCCCCAACUUUCCAAGGUUGACCUCAGAUCAGGUAGGAAUACCCGCUGAACUUAAGCAUAUCAAUAAGCGGAGGA